AUUGAACGCUGGCGGCAUGCUUUACACAUGCAAGUCGAACGGUAACAGGCCUUCGGGUGCUGACGAGUGGCGAACGGGUGAGUAAUGCAUCGGAACGUACCCAGAGGUGGGGGAUAACGCAGCGAAAGCUGUCCUAAUACCGCAUGUGAUCUGAGGAUGAAAGCGGGGGACCGAGCAGCAAUGUUUGGCCUCGCGCCUUUGGAGCGGCCGCUGUCGGAUUAGCUAGUUGGUGGGGUAAAGGCCUACCAAGGCGCCGAUCCGUAGCUGGUCUGAGAGGACGACCAGCCACAUGGGGACUGAGCAACGGCCCAGACGCCUAAGGGAGGGAGCAGAGGGGAAUGUGAGACAACGGGGGCAAGCAUGAUCAAGCAAGGCAGCGUGCGGGAAGAAGGCCUUCGGGUUGUAAACCGCUUUUGGCAGGAACGAAACGGUGUCCGCUAAUACCGGGCGCUAAUGACGGUACCUGCAGAAUAAGCACCGGCUAACUACGUG
Molecule: ribosomal RNA, 492 nt
Filed under: uncultured bacterium
Lineage: Bacteria
Description: partial 16S ribosomal RNA
Rfam family: Bacterial small subunit ribosomal RNA
Source: RNAcentral